UAAAGAGUAUGAUAAGAUCAAUUAAAAUAGUUAAGAUUACAUAAAAUAAAAAAUAAAAAUUUAGAUUAAAAUAAAUAGAUGAUAAUAAAAAAAAUUAUUGAGAUAUGAAAAAAAAUUUUAUUUCUUAAAAAUUUAUAUUUUAUUUUUUUAAUUAAUAUAAAUAGAUACUCGAAGACAACCAAACUGGUAGUUACUUGAAAGAAAAAAAACAAAAACAAAAACAAAAAAAAGGUUAGUUAUCAGAGCCAACAUCCAUCCCGAUCCGCGACGGCUCCAUCUCCGUCGCCCUCUGCACCCUCGUCGUCCUCCUUGGCUCAUCCAGUUGGGCUUCACCGCCCGCUACACUUUCCCUCACCCUGGACGAGAUCAUUGCCAACCUCGGCCUCUCCCUUCCGGUUCUCUUUGGUGUGACGGUUUCUUUACUGCUUGGCGUGACGGCGAUGUGUGUUGGUGGUGCCAGUUCUCGACUCUUGGUUCUCUGUCCAACAUCAGAGCCAUGGUGGGGAAUAUUUCCAGCGGACAGAUUGCGGAGGACAUCGGGCGCAAAGGAGCGAAGCAGAUCUGACCUUUUUUCUGGUUCCCGUCAGGAUCUGAUCAUGAUGAGUCUUUGACGUGAUUGUUGUUGGAAGGGUUCAGUGUCAGUGUGAGCUCCUAGACAGUAUGUUACCAUCCUUCUGCAAGCGUUUGAUCCAUUUUGGUGGAGUUUUAUGCGGUCCGACUCUUGAUCUAUAGACGUCUCAUCACUUGCCUGAUAGUUCCCAAGAACUAUCAGAGAUUGUUCCUAAGAACUUGAGAGGGGCACUCGGCUCUGUGGAUCAGAAUUCAGUGGCCUGAUCAACCAGGACACCAAUCCCAUUAGGCAUUGAUCUACAUGCACUGCAGCAGCAAAGUGGAAUCAAGUCAAUCAACAGAUACUUCCUGUUAAUAUCAAGAGCCCUGCUAAUCAUUCCAGAAUACUUGCCAACCGGUUGACAUCAUUUGUGAUAACAAUGAUUGCAAAGUUACUUCUGGGCUGGAGCACCGGAGUUUGAAAUGUGUGCUCUCAAGAUACCGAUACCACUCCAAUGAUAAUAUGGGUGCCUGAGACCAAGGGAGGAACUCUCGAGGAAUCACAGUAGUCUAUCAGAGAAAAAGAUGGAAGUAGAAUGAUGAUGGAUUCAAAACUUACUCUUUCAUGUCCUUGGCAAGCUCUAGGUUGAAUAUGUUGUCAUUCUCUCCCCACAACAAGAGUAUCCUCUGCAUCAUGUGAAAAUGAAAACACCAAGAAUAAUCAUGCUCUUCAAUUCCACAUUUUGGCAGCAUACAAGAGGUUGGCUUCGCAAAGGAUUGUAAUGGAAGAAAUCGGAUACCUGCACACAUACCUGAUCCAAAGAGGGAACCUUCGCAUCUUUGUUGCUGAUCACCAAACCCUCGAGCAGUUCUGCCCUCUCCUUCCGAUUGCUAAACAUCACCUGUUCAUAUCCACACCGAUCAGUGGAUGGAAUCAGCAGGCAUUUGCAUGCAUGCAGUCAGUACCUCGAGGUAGUCCUUGUAGAGGAAGUCCGGGAACCAUAGCUUCUUGUGCAUGGAGACGGAGAGCAGGGCCUUGAGGCCCUUGAUGGACUCCGGCAUGAGGAGCUCCGAGGAGGAGGCGAAGCCGAGCUGGUCCAGCGUCGCCCUGCUGAUGGAGUCCGUCAUGGCGAAGACGGAGCCGGAGACGACCAGCGAGCGCACCAGGUCCGGUCGCAGCUCCGCCAUCUUGAACGCCACCAUCCCUCCGUAGCUGAACCCCACGGCGGUGCACCGCCGCACGCUGAGCUUGUCGAGCGCCGCGGCCAGGCACUCAGCCUGGAAGGCCGGGGAGCGGUCGGCGGCGGCGGUGGUCGACUCCCCGAAGAAGAACAGGUCGGGGAUGUACACCUCGUACUGGUUCACCAGCACCCCGAACUGGAACUGCCACGUGACGAUCCCUUCCGCUGCGAAUCCGUGCACCAGUACCACCGCUGGCUUCUCCUUCUCUUUGCCUCGCUGCUUCUUCUUCUUCUUCCUCUUGUCUUCCUCCUCGUCCCUGCUGCCAUCGCUACUCAGGUCAGGAACUACUUCUUUGUUGGUGGCCUUCUUCUUGUUGGCCAUGACCUUCUCCUUGGGAACCCACAUGCUGAUGACAGUGCCGGGCUCGAUCUCGAUGGUCUGCUGGCGCAGCCCCGCACCCCGCACCAGCCAGUGCAAGAUGGGCUUCUGUGCUUCCACCCAAUUCACCAUCUUUGUCACUGCCUCCGGCAGCAGCAGCAGCACUCUCUCUCUCUCUCUCUCUCUCUCUCUCUCUCUCUCUCUCUCUCUCUCUCUCUCUUCUCUCUAGACAAGCCUACCUCUCCAGGCUUAGCUUACUUCAUGUGCACACUCCUGUAGAGUUUAUAAAGAAGGUGGUGGCUGGGAAUGGUCCGUAGGAGAGGAAGCUUGUGCCGGGAAGCCUAUGAAUGCUGCCAUGGGUAGUUCUUGGUAGCUCUCU
Musa acuminata AAA Group (dessert banana) is the source of this 2488-nucleotide long non-coding RNA. RefSeq lists it as uncharacterized. The record is from RefSeq and is a predicted model, not a curated record. NCBI's taxonomy places the organism in Eukaryota, Viridiplantae, Streptophyta, Magnoliopsida, Zingiberales, Musaceae. The transcript has 6 exons.